UCAUUUUGGUAUUGCGGAAGAGAAAUCAAGUAAGGCUUUGGGGAGAGUACGCGCGCAAGCGAUAAAUUUAAAGGAAAUUGACGGAGGAACACCACAAGGAGUGGAGUGUGCGGCUUAAUUUGACUCAACGCGGGACAGCUUACCAGGCCCGAUAAUCGAGCGAGCGUAGUACGCGAUAGGUUAAAGAGUGGUGCAUGGCUGCUAUCGACAGUUGGGGUGACCUUAGGGUUAAUUCCGGCAAGUAGUGAGACCCCUGCAGAUAGUGGACAGGUAUUUUUAAAAUACAGGAAGGGAAGGGACAAGAGCAGGUCAGUGAUGCCCUUAGAUGGCCUGGGCUGCACGCGCACUACAGUGGUCAUUAUAAGU
This 366-nucleotide ribosomal RNA is filed under the name Dictyocoela sp. Its description in RNAcentral is "SSU rRNA". It matches the Rfam family "Microsporidia small subunit ribosomal RNA", at positions 708 to 1073 of the family's 1311-position model. Lineage: Eukaryota; Fungi; Microsporidia. The record is from RNAcentral.